UACGUAGGGGGCAAGCGUUAUCCGGAUUUACUGGGUGUAAAGGGAGCGUAGACGGAUAAGCAAGUCUGAUGUGAAAAUCCGGGGCCCAACCCCGGAAUUGCAUUGGAAACUGCAUAUCUAGGGUGUCGGAGAGGCAAGUGGAAUUCCUGGUGUAGCGGUGAAAUGCGUAGAUAUCAGGAGGAACACCAGUGGCGAAGGCGGCUUGCUGGACGAUGACUGACGUUGAGGCUCGAAAGCGUGGGGAGCAAACAGG
This 253-nucleotide ribosomal RNA is filed under the name uncultured bacterium. RNAcentral describes it as "partial 16S ribosomal RNA". It matches the Rfam family "Bacterial small subunit ribosomal RNA", at positions 524 to 776 of the family's 1533-position model. The record is from RNAcentral.